GACAGAGGGUGCGAACGUUGCUCGGAAUUACUGGGCGUAAAGCGCGUGUAGGCGGCAGCGUAAGUCGGGCGUGAAAUCCCACGGCUCAACCGUGGAAGUGCACUCGAAACUGCGCAGCUAGAGUCCUGGAGAGGAAGGUGGAAUGCUUGGUGUAGAGGUGAAAUUCGUAGAUAUCAAGCGGAACACCGGUGGCGAAGGCGGCCUUCUGGACAGUGACUGACGCUGAGACGCGAAAGCGUGGGGAGCAAACAGG
This 253-nucleotide ribosomal RNA is filed under the name uncultured bacterium. Its description in RNAcentral is "partial 16S ribosomal RNA". It matches the Rfam family "Bacterial small subunit ribosomal RNA", at positions 524 to 776 of the family's 1533-position model. The record is from RNAcentral.